Molecule: ribosomal RNA, 467 nt
Filed under: uncultured bacterium
Lineage: Bacteria
Description: partial 16S ribosomal RNA
Rfam family: Bacterial small subunit ribosomal RNA
Source: RNAcentral
GACGAACGCUGGCGGCGUGCUUAACACAUGCAAGUCGAACGAUGACUCCCGAUCUCGCUCUGUCUGCUCAGUGGCGUACGGGUGUGUAACACGUAAGCAACCUUCCCUUCACUCUGGGAUAACCUCGGGAGAUCGGUGCUAAUACCGGACAGGAGCUCCUGUCGCAUGGCGGUUGUUGGAACGUUUUUCGGUGGAGGAUGGUCGCGCGGCUUAUCCGUUUGUUGGGGAGGUAGUGGCUCACCAAGGCGAGGACGGGUAGCCGGCCUGAGAGGGCGACCGGCGACACUAGGACUGAGACAGGGCCCAGACUCCUACGGGAGGCAGCAGUGGGGAAUAUUGCAGAAUGGGCGAAAGUCUGAGGCAGAGACGCCGCGUGCGUGAUGACGGCCUGCGGGUGGUAAAACUCUUUCAGCAGGGAAGAAGCGGAAGUGACGGUACCUGCAGAAGAAGCGCCGGCUAACUACGUG